UAGUGAGCGGCAGAGUGAAGCGGCAACAGCUCAAAUUUGAAAUCUGGCUCUUUUAGAGUCCGAGUUGUAAUUUGCAGAGGGCGCUUUGGCGUUGGCAGCGGUCCAAGUUCUUUGGAACAGGACGUCACAGAGGGUGAGAAUCCCGUACGUGGUCGCUAGCCUUCGCCGUGUAAAGCCCCUUCGACGAGUCGAGUUGUUUGGGAAUGCAGCUCUAAAUGGGAGGUAAAUUUCUUCUAAAGCUAAAUACUGGCCAGAGACCGAUAGCGCACAAGUAGAGUGAUCGAAAGAUGAAAAGCACUUUGGAAAGAGAGUCAAAUAGCACGUGAAAUUGUUGAAAGGGAAGCGCUUGCAGCCAGACUUGCCUGUAGUUGCUUAUCCGGACUUUUGUCCGGUGCACUCUUCUGCGGGCAGGCCAGCAUCAGUCUAGGCGGUUGGAUAAAGGUCUCUGUCAUGUACCUCUCUUCGGGGAGGCCUUAUAGGGGAGACGACAUGCAACCAGCCUGGACUGAGGUCCGCGCAUCUGCUAGGAUGCUGGCGUAAUGGCUGUAAGCGGCCCGUCUUGAAACACGGACCAAGGAGUCUAACAUCUAUGCGAGUGUUUGGGUGUCAAGCCCAGACGCGUAAUGAAAGUGAACGGAGGUGGGAACCCUUUGGGUGCACCAUCGACCGAUCCUGAUGUCUUCGGAUGGAUUUGAGUAAGAGCAUGGCUGUUGGGACCCGAAAGAUGGUGAACUAUGCUUGAAUAGGGUGAAGCCAGAGGAAACUCUGGUGGAGGCUCGCAGCGGUUCUGACGUGCAAAUCGAUCGUCAAAUUUGGGCAUAGGGGCGAAAGACUAAUCGAACUAUCUAGUAGCUGGUUCCUGCCGAAGUUUCCCUCAGGAUAGCAGUAACGUAUUCAGUUUUAUGAGGUAAAGCGAAUGAUUAGAGGCCUGGGGGUUGAAACAACCUUCACCUAUUCUCAAACUUUAAAUAUGUAAGAAGUCCUUGUUACUUGAUUGAACGUGGACACUUGAAUGUACCGUUACUAGUGGGCCAUUUUUGGUAAGCAGAACUGGCGAUGCGGGAUGAACCGAACGCGGGGUUAAGGUGCCAGAAUAUACGCUCAUCAGACACCACAAAAGGUGUUAGUUCAUCUAGACAGCAGGACGGUGGCCAUGGAAGUCGGAAUCCGCUAAGGAGUGUGUAACAACUCACCUGCCGAAUGAACUAGCCCUGAAAAUGGAUGGCGCUCAAGCGUAUUACCCAUACCCCGCCGCCGGGGCAGAAUUUAUGCCCCGGCGAGUAGGCAGGCGUGGAUGGCUCGUGA
This 1305-nucleotide ribosomal RNA is filed under the name Neosetophoma samarorum. RNAcentral's name for it is "LSU rRNA". It matches the Rfam family "Eukaryotic large subunit ribosomal RNA", at positions 81 to 1405 of the family's 3401-position model. Lineage: Eukaryota; Fungi; Ascomycota; Dothideomycetes; Pleosporales; Phaeosphaeriaceae. The record is from RNAcentral.